CAUGCAAGUCGAGCGGUAGAGAGAAGCUUGCUUCUCUUGAGAGCGGCGGACGGGUGAGUAAUGCCUAGGAAUCUGCCUGGUAGUGGGGGAUAACGUUCGGAAACGGACGCUAAUACCGCAUACGUCCUACGGGAGAAAGCAGGGGACCUUCGGGCCUUGCGCUAUCAGAUGAGCCUAGGUCGGAUUAGCUAGUUGGUGAGGUAAUGGCUCACCAAGGCGACGAUCCGUAACUGGUCUGAGAGGAUGAUCAGUCACACUGGAACUGAGACACGGUCCAGACUCCUACGGGAGGCAGCAGUGGGGAAUAUUGGACAAUGGGCGAAAGCCUGAUCCAGCCAUGCCGCGUGUGUGAAGAAGGUCUUCGGAUUGUAAAGCACUUUAAGUUGGGAGGAAGGGUUGUAGAUUAAUACUCUGCAAUUUUGACGUUACCGACAGAAUAAGCACCGGCUAACUCUGUGCCAGCAGCCGCGGUAAUACAGAGGGUGCAAGCGUUAAUCGGAAUUACUGGGCGUAAAGCGCGCGUAGGUGGUUCGUUAAGUUGGAUGUGAAAG
This 551-nucleotide ribosomal RNA is filed under the name Pseudomonas sp. SG-1-101. RNAcentral describes it as "bacterial SSU rRNA". It matches the Rfam family "Bacterial small subunit ribosomal RNA", at positions 54 to 600 of the family's 1533-position model. The record is from RNAcentral. Lineage: Bacteria; Pseudomonadati; Pseudomonadota; Gammaproteobacteria; Pseudomonadales; Pseudomonadaceae.